MicroRNA precursor from Rattus norvegicus (Norway rat), 76 nucleotides. Ensembl annotates it as microRNA 3569. The record is from Ensembl. Lineage: Eukaryota; Metazoa; Chordata; Mammalia; Rodentia; Muridae.
CAGUCCCUUCCUCGGAGGACAGCAGACUCAGGUCGAAAUCGGGACCUGAGUCUGCGCUCCUCUCCAGCCCUAGACU